UUCUUUCCCUAUCCCUCUUCCUGGACCUCCUAAUUUUUGUUCAAGAAAUACGUUUGUUUACUACUUCCUUGUUCAAUUUUGCUUGGGUUACACUAUCGGUUUAUUUCACCUUUAAAAAAAUAAUUGAUUUAAUACUUCUCUACUCAAGUGUUGGAAGUAUAGAAAAAAAAGGUCCCGUUUCUUCAAUACAGUCUGCGAAUGGGAACUUCAGUUAGCUCAGCCGGUCUGUCCUGAUGCUGGGCCGCGGUCUGCGAGUGCCGUUGACGUUACCUAUGAUGUGUUGUGACUUGAAGUCUUCUAGUCCGUAAACUAUCGCGAGGACGUUGAACUAGGAUGGGGAUCUCCGCUCUGCUCCGCCUAUUCCUGGAGCGUGCUAGCAACAUGUUGUGUACCUGGCUUCGUGUUGCAAUCGCCUGCCCGACGUGCUGUGGAUGGUAAACUGUGAAUAGAUGUGAGUGGUGUACAGUGAAUAGAUGUUAGACAAACAGUGUAUAGUUGUGAAUGGUAAAACCAUGCAUAGAUUAGACGUGUGUUUUGGAUAGUAUUCAGCAGAAUGGAUACGCAGACCUGCAUAUAUUUUAUCUGUUUUCCAAAUAGAUUAAGUGAAAAACUACAGUUUUAAUGAGCUUGUACUGAGGCGGAUGUUUCUGAUCUUUAUUGACGCCAAGCUGACGUUUUUGUAUUGAUCAUGCCCCAGUGAUUAUGUAUGCUGAACUUUACAGAAAAAAAUGUGGCACAGACGGCAUACUUACUAAGGAUUCAAAAUCCUAAAUAAGUUCGUUUGCUCGACCCUUGAUUGUCGAACACGUGGCCUGGAUUCAAGAUUGUUGAACCGUUUUUUCAAGUUUUCAGGGUUUAGUGGCUGAGGCGAAUGGAUCAUACCGUACUUUUUCAUCCCUUUCUUACUGUUAGGAAUCUUUCCAUUUUUCCACAUACGUACACACUUUAAAAAUAAGAAAUUCAGCUGUGAAUUUCGCACUAAAGGAUGGAUGAGUGUUCAAAUUUCCGCCCCGACUUGACUGUGUGAACUGUUUGUCAUUCGUUAAGGAGGAACAAGACACCCUCAACGAGAUUAUUGAAGUGCCACCGUGGACUUCUCCAUCCAUUUGUUUGUACAUGAACAUGUUUUAUCGUAGCAUUUACGCUGGCGUGUGUGAGUUGGAAUUCGCUGAGGAUCAUAGCUCAGGUUCUUAGACCUCAGCCCCCUCUGCCGUGGUUUCUGGCAGUACGGCCAUGUUCAUCAGGGCUAUUUAUGAUGAGGGCGCGUGUGGGCGGUCAACGCCCCCCGACCCCGCGGUCGGAAAACGCCCCGCCCCUACUACCUAUCUGACCUACGGAGGUUGUAGCGUCCGGACCAGCAGACAGCACGGUUUCCGGACGAGCAGCUGUUCGGCCAUGGCAGACUGGAAGCGCCAUCUGGGACGCCGGAAGCGGUGCCUGACCGAGGGCGACCUCAGCAGCCCUCUCCCGCCCGCCUGCAAGUGGAGGAGACUAGGUAAUUGCUG
Aplysia californica (California sea hare) is the source of this 1505-nucleotide long non-coding RNA. RefSeq lists it as uncharacterized. NCBI's taxonomy places the organism in Eukaryota, Metazoa, Mollusca, Gastropoda, Aplysiida, Aplysiidae. The record is from RefSeq and is a predicted model, not a curated record. The transcript is spliced from 2 exons.